UACGAAGGGGGCUAGCGUUGUUCGGAAUUACUGGGCGUAAAGCGCGCGCAGGCGGUCCUUCAAGUCAGAGGUGAAAGCCCAGAGCUCAACUCUGGAACGGCCUUUGAGACUAGAGGACUUGGGUACGGGAGAGGUGAGUGGAAUUCCGAGUGUAGAGGUGAAAUUCGUAGAUAUUCGGAAGAACACCAGUGGCGAAGGCGGCUCACUGGCCCGUUACCGACGCUCAGGCGCGACAGCGUGGGGAGCAAACGGG
RNAcentral lists this ribosomal RNA (253 nucleotides) under uncultured bacterium. RNAcentral describes it as "partial 16S ribosomal RNA". It matches the Rfam family "Bacterial small subunit ribosomal RNA", at positions 524 to 776 of the family's 1533-position model. The record is from RNAcentral.